RNAcentral lists this unclassified non-coding RNA (379 nucleotides) under Basidiomycota sp. Its description in RNAcentral is "partial contains small subunit ribosomal RNA, internal transcribed spacer 1, and 5.8S ribosomal RNA". The stretch from base 1 to 47 matches the Rfam family "Eukaryotic small subunit ribosomal RNA", at positions 1785 to 1831 of the family's 1831-position model. Lineage: Eukaryota; Fungi; Basidiomycota. The record is from RNAcentral.
AAAGUCGUAACAAGGUUUCCGUAGGUGAACCUGCGGAAGGAUCAUUAACGUAGAAAAAGGAGAUUGGGAGGCUUGACCUCCUAAUAAUCUUCCUUCACCAUUAUUGUGCACCUAAAAGUUUGUCUUUGGUGGUUAAACUCAAAAGAGUAUCUUCUGAGGCACCCGUAUCUCUCGUACGAGGGACACAAACUCGUGUUUUCUGCUUUGUCCUUGAUAAAGCGAAGACGACAAGUGGGCUUAUGUGUAAUAACAUUGGCUGGCUUGGAAGAGGGGCCACCGCAUUUAUUAAACAAUUUCUUGUCUGUAUAUACCCAUUUUCUGUUAAAACGUUUAUUGUCUUAACAAAAAACAACUUUUGACAACGGAUCUCUUGGCUCUC